This 631-nucleotide long non-coding RNA is filed under the name Homo sapiens (human). RNAcentral describes it as "HSALNT0003340". The record is from RNAcentral. Lineage: Eukaryota; Metazoa; Chordata; Mammalia; Primates; Hominidae.
AUGUGAGUCACCCACCCUGCAGGCUUUUUUUUUUCUUUUUGGACAGGGUCUCACUCUUUUGCCCAGGCUGGAGUGCAGUGGCUCAAUCUUGGCUCACCGCAAACUCCACCUCCCAGAAUCGAGCGAUCCUUCUACAUACAGGCAGGCGUAUUUUGAGGCCCCAACUCUGCUCAAUCCUGCAAGAUCAACUCUAAGAUUCCCAUAUUUUUGAUUUGAAAGACCCAUCUUAGUUCAUACCGAACGUUGCCCUUUGGCUCUUAGGGACUCAGUUAUUGCUGUGCUCCUAGUUUGAUGAAUUGGUAGCGUGAAAGGAAAAUAAGCCUCGGGACACAAAAAUCACUACGCCGACGGGAAAGUCAAGCUGGGAACUGCAUCAGAGAGGAGGAGCUGAUGGGUGCUGAGUCCCAAGAGAAGCACCCUGUUUGCAGAGGGCUAUGGAUACCUCUCACCAGAUGGGGCAGGAGGAACGACGGGAACAACUUAAUAUCAGUAGAAUUGUAAACUCCUUAGCUGGAAGCUACCUUAAGGAAGUGUUUCACAGACUGUAGGUUGAGACCCAUGAGUGAAUUGUAAAAUUUAAUGUAUCACAACUAGCAUUAAAAGAAAAAGAAAACAAUAAACUUGAGUCUGA